AAGUCGUAACAAGGUUUCCGUAGGUGAACCUGCGGAAGGAUCAUUACUGAGUGAGGGCCCUCUGGGUCCAACCUCCCACCCGUGUUUAUUGUACCUUGUUGCUUCGGUGCGCCCGCCUCACGGCCGCCGGGGGGCUUCUGCCCCCGGGUCCGCGCGCACCGAAGACACCAUUGAACUCUGUAUGAAGAUUGCAGUCUGAGCGAAAACUAAAUAAGUUAAAACUUUCAACAACGGAUCUCUUGGUUCCG
Molecule: unclassified non-coding RNA, 248 nt
Filed under: Penicillium odoratum
Lineage: Eukaryota; Fungi; Ascomycota; Eurotiomycetes; Eurotiales; Aspergillaceae
Also listed under: 1 other name
Description: partial internal transcribed spacer region
Rfam family: Eukaryotic small subunit ribosomal RNA (bases 1-46)
Source: RNAcentral